This 183-nucleotide ribosomal RNA is filed under the name uncultured bacterium. Its description in RNAcentral is "partial 16S ribosomal RNA". It matches the Rfam family "Bacterial small subunit ribosomal RNA", at positions 1318 to 1500 of the family's 1533-position model. The record is from RNAcentral.
ACAUGAAGCUGGAAUCGCUAGUAAUCGCGGAUCAGAAUGCCGCGGUGAAUACGUUCCCGGGUCUUGUACACACCGCCCGUCACACCAUGGGAGUCGGAAAUGCCCGAAGUCUGUGACCCAACCGCGAGGAGGGAGCAGCCGAAGGCAGGUCGGAUGACUGGGGUNAAGUCGUAACAAGGUACC